CACUGGUCGAGAGAUGAUGCUGCUCUCCUGAUGAGUCUAAGACAGGACGAAACCAGUA
Molecule: non-coding RNA, 58 nt
Filed under: Helianthus annuus (common sunflower)
Lineage: Eukaryota; Viridiplantae; Streptophyta; Magnoliopsida; Asterales; Asteraceae
Source: RNAcentral